RNAcentral lists this long non-coding RNA (14965 nucleotides) under Triticum aestivum (bread wheat). RNAcentral's name for it is "long non-coding RNA (TAES_LNC000369)". Lineage: Eukaryota; Viridiplantae; Streptophyta; Magnoliopsida; Poales; Poaceae. The record is from RNAcentral.
ACUGCUAGUGCAGUCACCGUCAGGAGCACGAUCCGUCGCUUGAGGGAGCAGACCGAAGCAUGAUUGCCCUACUGUUGUCUUGAGGAAUCCAGGGGUUCUGUAGUGGAGUGAAGACUUAACAAUCUCUGUAUUUUGGCUAUCGAGCGAUGGAUAUCUGUUAGUAAUUUUGGUUCUGAUUUUAGGAUCUUUGAAACUUGAAAGUAUGUCCCUACAGCUGCCUGUUAUGCGUUAUGCCAACCUAUUUGUAUUUUUGUGACACGUCUCUCACUCUCUACCCCUCUGCACCCCAAGUCAAUCUUAUAUGAUAAGGUUUUUAUCUCUUUUUUUAACACAGUAUAGAUGCAAACGAGCAUACUGACCCCAUGAAUGCAUGGACACCCCUACCUCUAUGAGCAUCUGUCAUCUGAUAUGGAGAAUGAACAUUGCCGGAGGAAAAUGGUAGUAGUGCAAAGUCUAGGACUUAUCCUGAUGGGCUGGUUGCAUCCCUAAAAUUGUGAACUUAUGGAAUGCACCCCAGUUGAGCAGAAAAUUUUGAAAAAGUUGGAAAUAAAUUCAAGACAUUCUGUUUUUUAUAAACAUUGUUGAAUGUUUUAUUGACAUGCAAAGUUUCAUUUGUGGAUGUCUUGAAAAGAAAAAUUGAUGUUCAAAAGUGCUUACAAAAAGAGGAAAUGAUUGUAAUCAACCGAUCGGCCGCUCCCAAGGUCGCCGCUUUAUCUCUUCCUCUCUCAAUCUUUCUUGGAUCUUCUCACUUGCAGCGGCUCCAGGAUUUGCCAUGAGCCGCAAGUGUGCCGCUCCAAGCCACCCAUCCAUGUCCAUUGUUGAGAGGUUUAGCCGUCGGGUUGCUGCGUGCUCGACGGAGGUGUGGCCAGUCGAGGCCUAGUGUUACAAGUCGGCCACCGGGGUGCUGUGUGCUGGCCGCUGGACGUCGGCGGUGGAGUAAAAUCACACUUCUUUACCCCUGUUCAUGGCCGGAUAAUGCCUCCUUAUUUUAUUUUUGCAACAACAACCCUGUUUUGCAAUUGCAACAAGGAGCCGCGAGCUAGUGAUUUUUUUUUUCAGUCAGAAAUGUUUCUCCAACAAAGGUUUGUUGCAAAGGAGGUUUGCAACACCGAUUUUGUUGCAAUGAAGAGAGUUGUGUUUCAGAAGAAGAAAAUGGAAAAGAACGUUUUUUUGUUGCAACAAGGCCCAUGUUACAGAGACUGAGUGCAACAAUUGACUUGUUGCAAAUCACUGGUUUCAACGGGGUUCACAUGGGGAGAUCCAAUGGUCAUUCUCACUUCAUCCAACGGCCGGCGAGGUGGUCGAUCUUUCCAGAUCAUCCGCGGGACGCGUAGCGCCCCCCUUAAAAAAAUACCCUUUUUGAAACAUUGUUGUUGUUUUUAAUCCCAAAAAACAGUUUCUGCAAAUUUUCCAUGGGUGCAUGCAGAAACUUCAUGUUCCAUUUCAUUAAUGCUAUUUUUGCAGACGUUAUGAUUUUGUAGUUUCUUUCCCAUGAGUUUGCUGUGCGUUACACAGCUGACGCUCAUAAAGCUUAUACGGAAUGUUGUAAGCCCUGAAUAAUCUUCAGAUUCCAGCAAAUGAUAGGUUUUCAUGUCCUCGCAAAUAAUAAAUAGAAGCUCCUUAUUAGUUGAGCUUUAAGUUUCCCAAAGAAUCUAGAGCUUCAGAUACGGUAUGUUACCGCAAUCCCAACCAAGGAGAUUGCUCAGAUCCUCUUGAGAAGCGCUUUCAGAUGUGGCUGUAGACUGUUUGUGAUUGUUGCCAUCUGAACGACGUACGAGAGCUCCCCAUCCACCACCUGAAAAGCCCUCGUGAUCUGCUUCACCUGACAAAAUUAUACAAGAUUUCUUAGGAGAUUCAGGCAACUUAGGUGGCUGCAAGACUCCGUAAGCGAGUGGAUAACCCUGAAGAUGACCUUCCUAUGAAGUUUAGCAACUCCAACAAGGAAAGACAAUGUACAUGAUGGUCAAGAUUUGAGUGUUGCGAACCUAUGACAAAAAAUACAAUGAAGUGCCGCCAGCAAGAUGAGUCAUACCCCUCCUACUUCGGUUCAUGAACACAAAAGCAGAUCUAAGUGUCAUAGUUUCUGAGUUUUAAACAAACAAGACAAGUGCAGAUGGAAGUAGGGCACUGCUUCCAGAGUUAAGAAACUUUACAUGUAGAUUUAUCCCUUGUUAAAUAUAGAUAUAUGGGUGCAAAUAUAAAUUUCUAUUAGCUCAUAGAAGCCUUAGUGUAUCAUGAGUUCAUCACCUGGACAAGUGAGGAACGUCAUUCUAUCCUAAUUCGCAAAAAACAAAAUACACUAUCCCAUCCAACUUAAGAGUCAGAUUACGUAACAACAAAAGUACCUAAACUCUUUUGACAAAUAUUAGCCCAUGGUAGGUUGAAUGCAAAAACAAAAGCAUUGUCACAUAGUCAAAUGAAAAUUGACCCUCAGAACAUCAUGUGGCAUAGUAAUAAAGGUAGUCGAAAUAGAUGAUAAUAAGAGACAUCAUAUAUAAUCGUCCUAGGAGAAGUACCUUUGCUGCAUUGCCAAUAAGUUCGCUUUGGAGUGUCACUGUUUUCUUUUCACUAUCAUAUGAACCUGUCUGCAUUUUAGAAACAAAGUUGUGGCAACAAAUAACAGUUUAGCUAAAAUAAAUAAAUAUAAAUAACUAAAGUAACACACCAAUUUAUUUAGUUCUCACCAAAAAAAACUUGUUUUGCUUAGUGAUAUAAAUCACACUCCGAUGAAACCUAAUUCUUACAAUGCCUGGGUGAGUUAUGAGCUAUGGCCUUGUGAGUACCUUUGGCCCUAUAAGCAACUUAUAUAAGAGGACCACUAUUGUUUGGAUGUGUCCUCUCUAUUUAUCAUUUACCAGCAAGCCUCCAGUGCUAGUUUUUGGUAUUUGAUUAACAGUUGUUUAGCGAAAAUACAGGAAAAAAGGGACCACCAGUUGCAACGAAUUUGCAAAGAGAGCGAAUAUCUCAAGCCUACACUAUCUUUAUUCAAAAAUUAAAACAUAAACACACAUUUAACUUCAAAAAAGCAGAUAUUUCAGUGACAAAACUACACUUUCAUCUUUAAAAUGUAAAUUUAAAAUAUACUUUGGUAUAGUUUUGUAAACAUAUUAAGGGUAUUUGUUAGUUUUCUGAUAAAUUUUGACAUAAUAACUAUAGUUCUGUGCCAUUUAUUCUUUGCAAUAUUAAAGGAUCCAAAUAUUGCAGGCGUCAACUCACUUCCUAUUUGUAUAUCACAUUCCUUUCUAUCCUACUCCCUCCGAACCAUAAUAUAAGACGUUUUUGCAGUUCAAAUUUAACUGCAAAAACGUCUUAUAUUAUGGUACCGAGGGAGUACAUAAGAGAUCAACACAACUCCACAUAAAUCAGUGUUAAUACUGCAAUGACAUAAAUGCUCCUUUGCCCCUUCUUUGCGCCGCUUAGCAGGUGAGAUAAGGAUAAUUAACCCCACCUACUGUUGCAAGCAACUAUGCUAGUUCAGUAUCCAGUUCAGAAUCUUCAGAUAUGAACAAUAUAACUGCAGUAUGCAGACACCUGCCGUGCAAAUUAUAAACUGGGAUUGCGAAUUUGCGAUGGCCUAUAACGAAUACCAACAGGCAAUACCCAAACAGAGUUGCCAUUUGCAGCUGGCUCCAAAAUGCAUACCAUACUCAAUCUAGCAUCAGACAGAACUAUGCUUGCAAGAACUCAAUGGGCAGUCAGUACGAACACACCUGGACCUCGGUGAGGCCUGUGCUCUGGGCGAUGACCACCUCGACGGAGCCGUCGGGGCGGGGCCGCCAGUACCCACUCUCGGCGUGCAUCGGGUCGCCGGACGCCGCCUUCCACGUCCUCUGCGUGUACGAGAUCACCGGCUGCGCGCACCCACGCCGAGUCAGGCAAAGGCAUGAAAGCUCUAAGAAUCGGCCAACCGAAGGCAAAGUUUCUGCCACGGAAGGGACACAUACGGCCGGGAGACGGCGGUGUACCUUGGAAGGGUGGUGGGAGAAGAGGAUCUCCUCGCCGUAGCGGAACGGGACGAUGGAGGGGAAGGUCCCCUCGCCCUCGCCGCGCCACUUGCCCAGCAGAAACGACAGCGGAGCCACCAAUGGGUGCGGCGCCGGCGGCUGCGUUGGAGGGCCGGCGGCUUCCAUUUCUUGAAGUCUCCGGUUGGAUUUUCGGACUGGUCUCACCUCUCUGCUCUCUUGUUUCGUGAGCUGAACGGGACGAUGGGGAGUGGCUUGGGUUGCACAAUCUAAUUAUUUUUUAACCGUAACUGUGGGUUGCACAAUUUUCACCCAACCGCCCCCAUUCGGUCAAGGAUUUGUUGCUGACCCACCCAAAAUUCUAGUCAUCCGAGAAAGACGGUCACGCCCACAAUAAUCAUGCUAACCGGGAAAUUUUGAAACAAGCACGAUGUAUGGCAAGAUCUUCCACAAUUCGUCAACCAUGUCACAACUUUGCAAGGAGGUGAACUCGGUAAUUAUCUGCACGCUUCACUCCCUUUAGCCGGAGAGGAACCGGCAGGUCUUUGAGAACAUCACUCUCCUCCCAUCGGCGGUCAUCGACAAGAUUCACAAUAACUGUAAAUAGUGAGAGGGUAAUAUUCAACUCCCUUCCUUUCUAAAUAUAAGGUGUAUUAGUUUUUUCAACACUUUAAUCAUUUUAGACAAAAAUAUCAAUGUCUAGAUUCAACAUGAAAUAUAUUUACAUGUUAUAUUUAUUUAAUGUUAUAUAUCCUUAUAUAUAUUUCUAUAAACUUGGUCGAACAUCGAUAGUAUUUGACUUUUUGAAAAACUAAUAUGCAUUAUAUACUAGUAUUUAGGAACAGAGGGAAUAGGCAGUCUUGUGGUGAAAUGCCAUCGUUCUCAUACAAAUUAUUGCAAAUGCACUUGUUUGCAAUCUUAACAUAUAUGUAUGAAGAUCUCCGUGUUCACGGAAAAAAUAUAUCAAAAAUGAAAUCACAGGGUCUUGGUGAGUACCAAGAACCCAACACCAUGCAAGCAAACUGCGAACAGCAGCAAGGAUGACAUUCGCUGAAUUAUUGGCGGCUAUGGUUUGGCGAUGGUGUAGAGGUGUGAUGCAACGGGCGUAAACUCUGCAUUUGCUUUGAUCUCACAUGCGACAGUGACGCUCAUAUUCCUUGUUGGAACUAUUUUGUGAAGCCUUUAGAGCACAUACAGUCGGGCGUCUUAUCUCCUCUCCCAAAUGUCCGGGUGGACGCCUUGGUUACUAACCGGUGAAAAUCCUGACAUAGACGGGCGCCUUAAAUGGGCCUCAAACCUUGGGCUGACCGACGCCCCUCAUAUCCAGCCAUAAUGUAGGGCGGAUAUGAGGAGGCUCGUGCGUGACCACGCGCGUCUGCAACGUCGGACUCGACACCCCGACCCCAUCAUAAAUUGCACCAAAUUCAUCACCCUUAACCCGCCGAUUGCAUUUGCUCUCUCCUCUCUUCCUCCUCCUUCACACUGGACGUCUUUUAGCUCCGCCGCCACCCUUGCUCCGGCGCCGUUCCGAGCCUUAACGCCGCCAGCACUGGUACUACAGUCCUCUCUAUCGUGCUGCCUCUGUGGACUUUGUUGCCGGCCCGGCCCGGACGUCACCACAGUAUGUUCAGCAACUUUUGGGUUGCCCCUUGCGCUCUGUGUGUUCGACACAAUAUUUGCCCCGGUUUUCUGUGAUUUAUUCGUAGGAAAAAUGAUGGAUUCUAAUGCUUCAUCAGACAAGGAGUAUGCACCGAUGUAGUUUGAUAAAAUGAUUGAAGAUGAGUUCUUCGUUUCAUGGAAUUCAGACGAAGAGUCAGACAUGAUCAUGCUCAUAAGCAUGCAAGAGGGAAUGGAACGGCAGGUGGAGCAUAUUCUCAACUUUAAGGGCUCAAUGAAAGGGAAAAGAGUGAUCAAUCGGGAUAGGGUCUCCGGAGCACAGCUAGUGUACAAGGACUACUUUGGUCCAGACCCAACUUUCACAGAUGAUCCAUGGUUUCGUUGUCGUUUCUGUAUGCGCAAACCAUUGUUUUUGCGUGCUGUGGAGGGAGUGGAAGCACACGACUACUACUUCCAGCUCACAAGGGAUUGUUGCGGCCAUCUUUCUUCCUCCGCUAAGCAGAAAUGCACAACUACUCUGAGGAUGCUUACACUUGGUACUGUCGUCGAUGCCAUUGGUGAGAUGGUCCGGAUGGGGGAGAGCAUAUGCCUGAAGACUACUGCCAGGUUUGCCCGCGCCGUGCAGGUGUUUGGAGCUGAGUGUCUAAAGGAACCAAAUGUGCAGGACACAGAAAAGUUGUUGGCUAUUGGAGAGGCAAGAGGAUUUCGAGGAGUACUUGGAUCAAUUGAUUGCAUGCAUUGGCAAUGGAAGAACUGACCCAAAGGUUUGCGUGAAAUGUAUCAAGGUAACACCAAAGAGGCCACCAUCACACUGAAAGCAGUGGCAUCACAUGACUUAUACACCUGGCAUGCUUUCUUUGGAAUGCCGGAUUCUCACAACGAUAUCAACGUGCUUCAACGAUCUCCAUUUUCAGGAGGCUUUGUAAUGAGGAAUUGCCGCCGUGCAACUACACUGUCAAUGGCCGUGACUACAACAUGGGAUACUAUCUUGCCGAUGGCAUAUAUCUUUAGUGAGUUGCGUUUGUGAAGACCAUAUCCGAACCACAAGGCAACAAACAAAGUCACUUGCAACAAUGCAGGAAGCAACUAAGAAGGAUGUGGAGAGAGCAUUCGGAGUGCUUCAAGCUCGUUCAUGAACUGUUCAUGGAGCUACAAUGAUGUGGGAAUCAGAAACUUUGUGGCAGCUGAUGACAUGUUGUGUUAUUUUGCACAAUAUAAUUGUCAAGGAUGAGGGUGAUGUUGUCGCCCAAACCAAUGGUUAUGAAGUGCGUGGAGAACAAGUCCAUAUCCUCAAAGAUCAAGAUGCAAAACGGCUUAUAAACUUUAUGCAGAUGCAUCAGAAUCUUCGAGAUCAUGACGCCACAACUACUCAGUGAUCUUGUGAAGCAUAUGUGGACCGACAAUGACCAAAGAGCUAAUGUUUGAGUUGUGCAAUUAAAAUAAAUUUUAUGUAAGAACUAUGUAUUUUCGCUGCCAACAUUUAUUAUUUACGUGCGACAUUGGCGUGUAUGAUAGACGUGCAUGGAUUUGCAAGUAUCUGUGAGUUCGAAUUUGAGGUAUGUGGCUCUGCCGAACAUGACAUAUGAGGGGCGGUUCAGAUGCGUCCACAGGCGUGCCUGGAUGCAUCCGUGGACGUAUAGGGGCCGGAUUUGCCAAAUCCGGCUGUAGAUGCUCUUCAAGAAAAAAAACAUCAUUUCCUAGACAUAGUGAUGGUCGUGCGUGGUUUCUUCCUUGGUUUGUGGCCUUUGAAUCUCAUUAGCUGUUUGACGUCUCGGCUACAGUGCAGAUAGUUGAUAUGAGAUCCGUGGUACCAUUUUUGCGAUGGUGGCUGCUCCUUGGUUCUUCUCCUCGUAAGUGUCGAGUUCUGCAAGGUUGGUUGAUUAGUCUUGUUGUUUGAUCAUAUUAGUAGGAGAUCCAAAUGUUUUCAUCUAAACCUAGGUUGGCGAGUCCUUGAACCACACUAGAUCACCUUCUUCCCAUAGGACACCUUGCACCCACUAUAAUUUUCAGAAUUAUUGAAGCUAUGGAAUUAUUCAUAGGAUUUUAUAGCUCUAAUUCAAAUAACAUAUGAGUUAAUUCAAAGUCUAUAAAUGCCAUGGAAAAAUAUGCAUCAUCUUUGGAUAAGAUUUUCACCGUUUUCCCUAAAUCAUGAUCAUUUUUAAGAACAUUUUGGGUUUCAUUGAGAAAUAAUUUAGUUAAACCUAGUUUAUUAAUGUGGUGCUAGGGUUUGUCAUUCCCCAUUUUAAAUUCUUUGAAAUUUAAACAUGAUGCAUUCAAGAAAUUACUAACCUAAGUCAUUACCAGACUAUGGAUGUGACUGUAACGCCCAUCAGUUUCUGGCUGUUGCGCUUGAUUUCUAGACUAGACCAACAUAUUAAUACUAAUCUUUGCUGCGCAUUUUUUUCCUUACUUGUGCGCAUCUCGGGACAACUUCCUAGUCAAUCAUCCAUUCUUAAAUUUCUCCAAGCCAAGCACACUUAACUUUGAGGUUCCUUGGAGAUGGGCUUCCAGAAAAGAAGAUGUACCAUGUUGAUAUGAGUAGUCUGUUAUUCUUAUUAAGCCGGGAUGUCACAUACACCCACCUCAAAGGAACAUACAUCCCAAUAGGAACAUUUCAUCUUUGCACACAUCUGCGCGCUAGUGCUAGCAUCCACAUGUGCCCCAUGUAUGCAUCACUGACCCGUACCCGCCCGUGUAACCGCGAGGAUCGACUCUGAUACUAAUUGUAAUGCCCAAAUCAAACCCACCGGUUCAAUCAUCGGUUCCCGGCGGUUGCGCCUGGGAUCUAGACUGGCCUCACAUACUAACACUAUUAUUUUCUACGCAUUUUGUCAUCACCCGUGCGCACCUGAAACAACUUUCCACUCGGUCACCAAUCCUUAAAUUUCUUCAGGCAAAGUACACCUUACUUUGAGGUUCCUUGAGGAUGAACUUCCGGGAAAAAAGGUGCACCUUGUUGAUAUGAGUACUCUAUCAUUCCUAUUAAGCUAGGAUGUCACACUCUCCUUCUUUGCGAUGAGUGUUAUCAGGUGGACAAACCAAGCAACCAACGCUCAAGGCUGCCUUAUUUGUUUACAUGAGAAUGGAAAUUGAAGAUCUCCUAUGUAUUUUGAAACGAGGCAAAAGAUUAGCAAUUUUCAUUGAUUAGGGAGGAAGGCUUGGAGGUUAAGGCUCAAGGCGAGAAUUGCAACAAUCACUCUCGCUGCAUUACAAUACUCAAAUGCCUCGGCCCUGCAAUGCUCCAAACCGAGGUAUCCUGUUUAAUCCUAGUGACGAUCACUCCCAUCGGGACGAAGGAAUUACGAAAGAUCCGCGCAUUCCACUCCUUCCACAAUGCCCAAGAGAUAAGCAACAUCAAGGAAGCCAGCGUCCUGCACGAUUGGGUUUUCUUGGUAGCGUUGUAGGUCCACCACUCUUUAACGGAAGUCGCUUCACCCAAUCGGAAGAAUGCACAUCGUGAAGUCCAAGCCAAUCUUUGACCAUGCACCAAACUCUAAUAGUGUACCAACAUUGAAAAAGGAGGUGGGCCACCGACUCUUGGACCUUCUUGCAUACGGGGCACGGGUUACAAUCUGGCCACCUACGACGCUGAAGGGUUAUCCCUUCAAAUCCUAGUGUUGAUUGCAAGCCAUGCGAAGAGCUUGCAUUUAGGAGUGCCCGUAUUCUCCAAAUGGUCAGGAUCAUGGCGGAGUCAGUCCGGCCAAGGAACUGUGCCUUGUAGCAUGCCGUGUCUGUCUCGCCAAGGAACCAAGCCAUGCGAAGAUCUCCUUUGUCUUGGUUGAGUCAACCAGACAUUUGAAUGUAGUGUUUUUUCUUCUUCCUAUUUCUGUAGCAUGGUCUGUAAUCAUCUCGAUGCCCACCUCCCAUGUGAUUGUCUAGUUGUUUGAAUUGGCGGCGUUCACCCCGAUCGAACUGAGGCGUUUGCAAAUAGCUAAAUAACCGAAACAUUCCAAGGAACUAUGAAUAUACAAAUAAAAGCAAGGGAGAGAUUUACCAGCGCAAGCAUGUGAAAAAUCAAUCCGCCCACACUAACAUAUCUCGAGAUUUUGCCCAGUCAACCGAUAAUGAACUCAUGAAAGACAAAUCAUCAUUCCGUUGUGGCUUAGGCCCGAUUUUCGAUUGUCGAAUCGUGUUGCAUUGUAUUUGUUUCUCUUUCAUACUAAUUUGUUGUGCGAAAAAAUAGCCACAAAACUAGAAACAAUUAUUGAUAUAGCUCAUCAUUCAUGCCAAAUGAUAACUCAAAAUAUUUUUUAUUUUUUUAUAUAGCUCAUCAUUCAUGCCAAAUGAUAACUCAAAAUAUUUUUUAUUUUUUUAUAUAGCUCAUCAUUCAUGCCAAAUGAUAACUCAAAACAUUGUCCGGUGGUAUAACAUAUGCACAAUUGUGGAACAAAUAAACGAACCAGCCCUAAACGGUAGUAUAUGUAUUCACUGAAAUGAAGAUACCAAAUGUGGUAAAGAAAAAAAAAGAGAAGCAGAAAACUUAUUACAGCUUACUCAUUUUUGCGAGGCACAUUUCUCAUUGCAUUAGUAUAGAUCUGAAGACGGGACAAAAACAAAUACAAAUAAUCAGCGAGGCCACCACCACAAGGAGAAAAAACACAAGACGUGGUUGGAUGUGGAACGGACGAUCAGGAUCAGUGCGUGCACCGCGACCUCUGGAAUCUUAGCCGUCGGUUUUUGAUAUCGAACUCCCACAGGUGCUCCUGCUGCAAGAUGUUACCGAUGACGGAGAUCCCGGGCCAAGGGCCUUCCUGCAGGCCGAUGCACUUGACGCCGGGCGCCGCGUCGAUCACGUAGCUCUUCCCUGGGGGCUCCAGCCGCGCCGCCCCGGCGAAGUGCACGGCCAUCUUCGGCACAGCGACGUCGGCGUCCUCGCCCGACGGCGACGUCCAGUUGUAGCAGUACUCGAACGGGUCCAUGGUGACCCGCGGCAGCCCGGCGAGCUCCUUGCUGAGCGCGGCCACGACGGCGCGGUAGGCCGGCUUGGCCAGCACCGUGAGGCUGGUGCCGGAGUCGAGGAUGACGCCGCCCCCCGCCUCGACGUCCCAGACGGCGCGCGGUAUCUUGAGGAACUCCCCGGCGACGGAGAUGGCCUUGAGGCUGACGUCGUAGAAGGGGCGCAUACGGCGGUCGAGCAGCAGCGGCGUCGUGCGCGCGCGGGGAGCGGCGGCGGCGUUGCAGGAGGAGGGGGAGGCGUGGGAGGAGGAGACGGCGGGGUUGGGGCCGAAGGUGAGGUAGCUGGUGGCGUUGCGCGGGGAGAGGUGGUCGACGAGGCAGUAGGAGAAGCGGCCGCCGAAGCGGGAGGCGGCGUGGGAGGCGAAGGAGAUGCCGCUGUAGCCGAGGCUGAGCACGCCGUCGGAGGCCUCGAAGCUGGGGUCGGUGUAGGAGCUGGUGCAGCCGAGCACGAGGCCCUUGAGCUUGGCCUUGCGCUCCUCCCGCCCGGACAGCGCGAUGGUCGCCGACUCCGUGCCCACCGUGCCGCGCGCCGCCGACCCGUCCUUGUACCUGCAUUGCAUGCGGCCGUAGAAUGCGCCACGGUUAGUUACGUAAAUCGUGCAUGGCACAUGGCGCGAUUCAAGGACUGGCUUGUGAGCAAAUGCAAAUCCUUCGGAGCACAAUGAUUAAACCGGUGGAAAGGGUAAUGCCUUUCCAUGAACUGUUAUCGCGAAGGAUGCUGCCAACAAGUGGACCUCACGCGGCAGUGCAGAUAUGUCCUACGUUCAUCAGUGUUUUUUGGCGAAUGCAUGCCGACCUGAACCUGAUUGGUUAGCAGCCGGAGUAUGUGCAUUUGAGCUGGAGGAUGAAUUGUUUUACUCCAGCCAAAACCAGUUUUGACCAAGGAGAAGGUGGCCCAGGUAUGGUCAAAGUCCCCCAGAGAAACUGUGUAUACUAUCACCCGUGAAAUUGCGUAUACAUUCAUCGGUGUUUGACUUUUGACAGUCGAUAGCAGAACCUGGUUUUCUCUGCAUAAACAGGAGAUGAUACUGUACUAUACUCACUAACCUUUGACAUUAGACAUAAUAGGGGAAGAGUAGUCAGGGAGGAAAAGUGGCGAGCAAACUGAGACGAACCGGCAUGUUUCAGAAAGAGAAGGGGUGGGCACUCCAUUUCUCCUCUUCCUUUUAGUACAAAAAAAACAGGCAGGCAGCACAACGUGAUCGAUUACCAGUAGUACAAGAACAGUCUACAAGCUGCAUGCAUGUUCGCCGUCGACACGCGUAACCCCAAAUCUAAAUGUACGUGUGAGAUGCUAUGACACCACGGGAGUGCGUGCUCGCCAGCUGCUCUUUCGGCCAUUAGCGAGGCGGGACACUACUCCUCACGAACUCCAUGGCCUAUUCUUGUCCUUGCAUUACGUCGUACGUUACGCAGGUACACUCAUUUGUUGCGGAAUCAAGAAGCCGAAUACCGUUUGUUACGGCACCUGCUUGGGACUGUCACUAACGGCGCACGGAGAAACAUCUCAUCUCAGAUCGGUGCAUGUAGUACGUAUUACAGAUUUACAGUACCAUCUUUUGAUUUAUCUUUCGGUGGCUCCUUUCCUACGGAAUAUGUGCAAUGUCCUGACACGCAGGCAGGCACUGAUGGAGUACAGCCCAAUCCACCGUGCACAUGACGAUCUCAAGCCAAGCCAAGCAAAGUCGAGUAUACUAUACUGCAGCUGCUACCGCCGCGACCGCCGUUCCCCUUUCUCUGCCCAUUGUUAAUGAAACAAGAAAACAAAUGCCCGGCCUAGAUAUGAACACCCGGCAGCGUGCACAUGCAGCAAAAACUACGAGCAGAUAGAUAUCCUGCGCGCGCGACCCCUUUCUGGGCGGCGCUGCAGGAUCCGAAUCCGAUGCAUAUGCGCGCAUGUGAUCCAUCUCAUCUCAUCGCUUUCGUGAGCGGGCAUAGUUCGGGACAUGAGGCAGCAUCCGUGCGUUCUUCUUCUUUCCGGUGUGUUCGUUUUGGUCCAUCGCCUUGGUGAGCCGAGUGACGAUGGCGCGCCAUGUCCGCCUGUGCGCGUGUUUGUCCGCGACAGCUCCACGAAGGCAUGGCAAGCCCACGCCUCUACAAGUAGACGCCAUAAAUAUGCUCCAAUCUAUCGAUGACUUUGACGAAGCAAGCGGCAAAUCGAUCGGAGAUUUCAGAGAGCUCAAUCAGCAUGAGGACUCCCAUCUCCAUCGAAGGGGGUAGGAGUACAUACGAGAAGGGGCAUCGUCGACCUACAUGGCCGAGCCAAUGAAUGCCGUGCAGUGCUACGGUCUCGUAGUACAAGUGGGACUGCCAGUACCAGUACCAGUAAGGCGAGGCAGGCCGGAGCUGCCCGGAGCAGGGAGGGCAUCAAUGGCGCCGCAUUGAUUAAACGCUGCGGCCCCAUUGCCAUUUGCAAAUUGCAACUGCGCGAGAUCCGACUCGCCCACCAACCAACCACUAAUGGCCUCCUCCUGCCUCCUCCUGCCGCCUCUGCUGCUGCUCGCGCCUCCUCAUCAAUGCCAGGGCCAAUUAACGACGCCCCACCCGCAGAUCGAUUUGAUUCAAAUCCAUCGCGAUUACGCACAGCUAAGUAGGAGUGGUGGUACUAGUCGUAGCAGUAAAGCGCGGGCUGGCGUUUGUAUGAAGGCUGGUUAGUACGGUAGAGGGGAGAGCGAUGCGAAUGCGAAUGCGAAUGCGAAUGGCGAGUGAGGGAAUGCUGACCGGUAGUCGUAGGCGCAGGGGCUGCCGGGCGUGGGGCAGGUGGCGAGGGAGAAGGGGAGCGACUUGGUGCAGGUGUCCGACGCGCACGAGAUGGGCGCCCAUGUCCUGGAAUCCUCGGGACGGAACGCGCGCCCCGACCCCGAGUCGGCCGGCGAGAGCGAGGAGUUGGCCGGGGCGGAGGCGGAGGCGGGGCGGCGGCACUUGACCCAGGUCAGGUCGCUGCCGGUGUCGGCCACCAGCAGGAACGGCUGCGCCGGGGUGCCCACGCGGAAGCGCACGAAGUACUGCCCGAUGCCCGUGUACGCGCCGGAGGUGAGCGGCAUCGCGAAGGCCGCGGCAGCCGAAGAGGCAGACGAGCCCGCCGCGGUCUCGCGCGUGCGCCGCCGCCCGUGCGAGGCGAUGAACGCCAUCCGCUGCCGGUCGCUGCGCGCCAGGUCGGCGAGGGACGCCGGCGCGGCGAGGCGGAGCAGGGGGAACCGCGCCGAGUCGCUCGCGCGGCGGCCGCUCGCGCCUGCCAGGAACGCGGCGGCCACCGCGACGAGCAGCAGCGCCAGGCGGCGACCCGCCAUUGCCGACGGCGCGGCCGAUUCUUGGGUUUCGCGGCUUUGCUAGGCCACCAACGCGACGCCCGGCGAUGUGUAUGUGGCUGGCCCGCCGGCGGCCGUAUGCGCCAAUGCGCGCGCGCGCCUCCCGGCUCCUCGCAGCUAAGCAAGCAAGCCGCCGAGUUGCCGCGGCGGUCGUGGUGGUGCUUUCGUUUGCGCUAGCGUUUCGGGCUGCGUGUAUGUGUUUGUGUUUGUGUGUGUGCCGCUUUGGAGUGCGUAUUUAUCUUGCCCUCUUUGCGUGGGGGAGGCAGCUGAAUAGCUAAGGUUAGUUUAGUUUAGUGUUAGUUUUUGUUCAGGGUGGUGGCUGUGCUGUGCCUGUGCGUAGUCCGGGCGGCACCUGCCGCGAUUGGCAUUGUUUGGCCGCUGCAGAGGUGUGCGACGCGACGCGCUUGGGCGCUUGCGCUUGUGCUUUGUGCGCGCCGUGCUGGCCGCGGGUCAAAGCUUCCUGGGACUCGCUGCGCCGGAUUUCGGUUGGAUCUGUUUCCGUUAACACAGAUGCUCUCGGCGAACUGAGAGCCUAAGCUAGUUUAGGGCAUCUUCAAUGAUGAGCCGCGAGCUUUCUUGCCCAUCCGUCCGCGGACACAGAUAUGGAAGGCCGCCAUUCAAAGCUACCCGCAUGCAUACGGUCUCUCUUAAUUUUUUGAAGUCUCCAUGUUCAAAUUGCCGCAUACAUAGAUGGCUAAUUCUUUUGGGUGGAAUCAACCCAUCAGGAUUUAAGUCUUAGAUUUGGCGCUGGUGCUGGAAUUAUAUUAGGCUUCCGGCGAAGUUCGUUCAGCGGGAGGAGACGUUUUUGUCGACUACAGAGGCGUGUGUGGUGACUAAAUGCUCUCUUUCCUUUGAAAGAGUGUGAGUAGGGUAUGACAUGAGGGUGAGUAGGAUUUAUGUUGGGUGUGGUUUUUUGCCGGUUUCCCAUAUUAACCGCACGUUGUAUGGUUUUCGGGUCCGGUUUCCCUAUUAACUGGACCAUUUUCCCUCUUCUAUAAUGCAAAGGCAGAGCACCUGCCGUUCACGCUAAAAAAAAAGAAUAUGCUAAUGGAGCUCGACCUCCAUUUAGCCCUUAAUUUGAAAAGUACAAAAAUUCUGAAAAAUACAUAUUUUUUAAAAAAA